Molecule: ribosomal RNA, 1310 nt
Filed under: uncultured bacterium
Lineage: Bacteria
Description: bacterial SSU rRNA
Rfam family: Bacterial small subunit ribosomal RNA
Source: RNAcentral
AGAGUUUGAUCCUGGCUCAGGACGAACGCUGGCGGCGUGCCUAACACAUGCAAGUCGAGCGAAUGAAGUUCCUUCGGGAACGGAUUUAGCGGCGGACGGGUGAGUAACACGUGGGCAACCUGCCUCAUAGAGGGGAAUAGCCUUCCGAAAGGGAGAUUAAUACCGCAUAAGAUUGUAGUACCGCAUGGUACAGCAAUUAAAGGAGCAAUCCGCUAUGAGAUGGGCCCGCGGCGCAUUAGCUAGUUGGUGAGGUAACGGCUCACCAAGGCGACGAUGCGUAGCCGACCUGAGAGGGUGAUCGGCCACAUUGGGACUGAGACACGGCCCAGACUCCUACGGGAGGCAGCAGUGGGGAAUAUUGCACAAUGGGGGAAACCCUGAUGCAGCAACGCCGCGUGAGUGAUGACGGCCUUCGGGUUGUAAAGCUCUGUCUUCAGGGACGAUAAUGACGGUACCUGAGGAGGAAGCCACGGCUAACUACGUGCCAGCAGCCGCGGUAAGACGUAGGGGGCGAGCGUUGUCCGGAAUUACUGGGCGUAAAGAGCACGUAGGCGGAGACUUAAGUCAGAUGUGAAAGACCGGGGCUUAACCCCGGGGUUGCAUUUGAAACUGGGUCCCUUGAGGGCAGGAGAGGAAAGUAGAAUUCCUGGUGUAGCGGUGAAAUGCGUAGAAAUCAGGAGGAAUACCAGUGGCGAAGGCGACUUUCUGGACUGACCCUGACGCUGAGGUGCGAAAGCGUGGGUAGCAAACAGGAUUAGAUACCCUGGUAGUCCACGCCGUAAACGAUGGAUACUAGGUGUGGGAGGUAUCGACUCCUUCCGUGCCGGAGAUAACACAAUAAGUAUCCCGCCUGGGGAGUACGGUCGCAAGGCUGAAACUCAAAGGAAAAGACGGGGGCCCGCACAAGCGGUGGAGCAUGUGGUUUAAUUCGAUGCAACGCGAAGAACCUUACCAGGUCUUGACAUCCUACGGAUCUGUCUGAAAGGACGGAGUGCCUUCGGGAGCGUAGAGACAGGUGGUGCAUGGUUGUCGUCAGCUCGUGUCGUGAGAUGUUGGGUUAAGUCCCGCAACGAGCGCAACCCCCGCUAUUAGUUGCUAACAUUAAGAUGAGCACUCUAAUGGGACUGCCGGUGACAAGCCGGAGGAAGGUGGGGAGGACGUCAAAUCAUCAUGCCCUCUAUGACCUGGGCUACACACGUGCUACAAUGGAUGGUACAGAGAGCAGCAAUUCCGCGAGGCGAAGCGAAUCUCAAAAAGCCCUUCUCUGUUCGGGUUGGGGUCUGCGCCUCGGCUCCCCGCGGUCGGGGUCG